Non-coding RNA from Termitomyces sp. Mi166#008, 92 nucleotides. The record is from the annotation of a GenBank genome assembly. Lineage: Eukaryota; Fungi; Basidiomycota; Agaricomycetes; Agaricales; Lyophyllaceae.
UCGGAUAUGGUGUAAUGGCUAACAUUGCCGCCUCUCAAUUUCUUGCACAUCCUGCUGCGCGGCAGCUCGGGGUUCGAUUCCCCGUAUCCGAA